UACGAACUGUGCGAACGUUAUUCGGAAUCACUGGGCUUAAAGGGUGCGUAGGCGGCGAAUCAAGUCUGUUGUGAAAUCUCUCGGCUCAACCGAGAAAGUGCAGUGGAAACUGGUUUGCUAGAGUGAGGCAGGGGUGUAGGGAACUUCCAGUGGAGCGGUGAAAUGUGUUGAUAUUGGAAGGAACACCGGUGGCGAAAGCGUUACACUGGGACUUUUCUGACGCUGAGGCACGAAAGCCAGGGGAGCGAACGGG
This 253-nucleotide ribosomal RNA is filed under the name uncultured bacterium. Its description in RNAcentral is "partial 16S ribosomal RNA". It matches the Rfam family "Bacterial small subunit ribosomal RNA", at positions 524 to 776 of the family's 1533-position model. The record is from RNAcentral.